RNAcentral lists this ribosomal RNA (265 nucleotides) under uncultured archaeon. Its description in RNAcentral is "partial 16S ribosomal RNA". It matches the Rfam family "Archaeal small subunit ribosomal RNA", at positions 717 to 982 of the family's 1478-position model. The record is from RNAcentral.
AGACGUCUACAUUAGAUACCCGCGUAGUCCCAGCCGUAAACAAUGUGCGUUAGGUGUGUCGGUAACCACGCGUUACUGAUGCGCCGAAGAGAAAUCGUGAAACGCACCACCUGGGAAGUACGGUCGCAAGGCUGAAACUUAAAGGAAUUGGCGGGGGAGCACCACAACAGGUGGAGCCUGCGGUUUAAUUGGAUUCAACGCCGGACAUCUCACCGGAUAAGACAGCUGAAUGAUUGUCAAUCUGAAGGUUUUACAUGACUAGCUG